This 253-nucleotide ribosomal RNA is filed under the name uncultured bacterium. RNAcentral describes it as "partial 16S ribosomal RNA". It matches the Rfam family "Bacterial small subunit ribosomal RNA", at positions 524 to 776 of the family's 1533-position model. The record is from RNAcentral.
UACGUAGGUGGCAAGCGUUGUCCGGAUUUACUGGGCGUAAAGAGCGCGCAGGCGGUCGUCCAAGUCGCGUGUGAAAGCCCCCGGCUCAACUGGGGAGGGUCACGCGAUACUGGUCGACUCGAAGGCAGGAGAGGGUAGUGGAAUUCCCGGUGUAGUGGUGAAAUGCGUAGAUAUCAGGAGGAACACCGGUGGCGAAGGCGCUCAUCUGGCCCAAUACUGACGCUGAAGCGCGAAAGCCAGGGGAGCGAACGGG